This 499-nucleotide ribosomal RNA is filed under the name uncultured bacterium. RNAcentral describes it as "partial 16S ribosomal RNA". It matches the Rfam family "Bacterial small subunit ribosomal RNA", at positions 30 to 523 of the family's 1533-position model. The record is from RNAcentral.
AUUGAACGCUGGCGGCAGGCCUAACACAUGCAAGUCGAGCGGAUGAGUGGAGCUUGCUCCAUGAUUCAGCGGCGGACGGGUGAGUAAUGCCUAGGAAUCUGCCUGGUAGUGGGGGACAACGUUUCGAAAGGAACGCUAAUACUGCAUACGUCCUACGGGAGAAAGUGGGGGAUCUUCGGACCUCACGCUAUCAGAUGAGCCUAGGUCGGAUUAGCUAGUUGGUGGGGUAAAGGCUCACCAAGGCGACGAUCCGUAACUGUCUGAGAGGAUGAUCAGUCACACUGGAACUGAGACACGGUCCAGACUCCUACGGGAGGCAGCAGUGGGGAAUAUUGGACACUGGGCGAAAGCCUGAUCCAGCCAUGCCGCGUGUGUGAAGAAGGUCUUCGGAUUGUAAAGCACUUUAAGUUGGGAGGAAGGGCAGUAAGUUAAUACCUUGCUGUUUUGACGUUACCAACAGAAUAAGCACCGGCUAACUUCGUGCCAGCCGCCGCGGUAA